UACGUAGGGCGCAAGCGUUGUCCGGAAUUAUUGGGCGUAAAGAGCUCGUAGGCGGUUUGUCACGUCGGAUGUGAAAGCCCGGGGCUUAACUCCGGGUCUGCAUUCGAUACGGGCAGACUAGAGUGUGGUAGGGGAGAUCGGAAUUCCUGGUGUAGCGGUGAAAUGCGCAGAUAUCAGGAGGAACACCGAUGGCGAAGGCAGUUCUCUGGGCCGUAACUGACGCUGAGGAGCGAAGGCGUGGGGAGCGAACAGG
This 253-nucleotide ribosomal RNA is filed under the name uncultured bacterium. RNAcentral describes it as "partial 16S ribosomal RNA". It matches the Rfam family "Bacterial small subunit ribosomal RNA", at positions 524 to 776 of the family's 1533-position model. The record is from RNAcentral.